ACGGAAGGCAGCAGUGGGGAAUAUUGCACAAUGGGCGAAAGCCUGAUGCAGCGACGCCGCGUGAGUGAAGAAGUAUCUCGGUAUGUAAAGCUCUAUCAGCAGGGAAGAAAAUGACGGUACCUGACUAAGAAGCCCCGGCUAACUACGUGCCAGCAGCCGCGGUAAUACGUAGGGGGCAAGCGUUAUCCGGAUUUACUGGGUGUAAAGGGAGCGUAGACGGUUUGGCAAGUCUGAAGUGAAAUGCGGGGGCUCAACUCCUGAACUGCUUUGGGAACUGUCGAACUAGAGUGCAGGAGAGGUAAGUGGAAUUCCUAGUGUAGCGGUGAAAUGCGUAGAUAUUAGGAGGAACACCAGUGGCGAAGGCGGCUUACUGGACUGUAACUGACGUUGAGGCUCGAAAGCGUGGGGAGCAAACAGGAUUAGAUACCCUGGUA
This 434-nucleotide ribosomal RNA is filed under the name uncultured Lachnospiraceae bacterium. RNAcentral describes it as "partial 16S ribosomal RNA". It matches the Rfam family "Bacterial small subunit ribosomal RNA", at positions 341 to 792 of the family's 1533-position model. The record is from RNAcentral. Lineage: Bacteria; Bacillati; Bacillota; Clostridia; Lachnospirales; Lachnospiraceae.